UGGGGAAUAUUGCACAAUGGGGGAAACCCUGAUGCAGCGACGCCGCGUGAGCGAAGAAGGUUUUCGAAUCGUAAAGCUCUGUCCUAUGAGAAGAUAAUGACGGUAUCAUAGGAGGAAGCCCCGGCUAAAUACGUGCCAGCAGCCGCGGUAAUACGUAUGGGGCGAGCGUUGUCCGGAAUUAUUGGGCGUAAAGGGUACGUAGGCGGUCUAUUAAGUCAGGUGUGAAAGCGUGAGGCUUAACCCCAUUAAGCACUUGAAACUGAUAGACUUGAGUGAAGGAGAGGAAAGUGGAAUUCCUAGUGUAGCGGUGAAAUGCGUAGAUAUUAGGAGGAAUACUGGUGGCGAAGGCGACUUUCUGGACUUUUACUGACGCUCAGGUACGAAAGCGUGGGGAGCAAACAGG
Molecule: ribosomal RNA, 403 nt
Filed under: Verrucomicrobiota bacterium
Lineage: Bacteria; Pseudomonadati; Verrucomicrobiota
Description: Verrucomicrobia bacterium partial 16S ribosomal RNA
Rfam family: Bacterial small subunit ribosomal RNA
Source: RNAcentral